Molecule: small nuclear RNA, 104 nt
Organism: Chionomys nivalis (European snow vole)
Lineage: Eukaryota; Metazoa; Chordata; Mammalia; Rodentia; Cricetidae
Source: RefSeq, a predicted model, not a curated record
UUGCUUGCUCGGCAGCAUAUAUACUAAAUUUAGAACAAUUCAGAGAACCUCAACAUGAUACCUGUGAAUAUGGUACUCAAAUUCAUGAAGAUUUCCAUAUUUUA